GGGCAGGUGGCGAAACUGGUCAGACGCGGCGGACUUAAAAUCCGCCGGCCGCAAGGCCGUGGGGGUUCGAGUCCCUCCCUGCCCA
RNAcentral lists this transfer RNA (85 nucleotides) under Elusimicrobiota bacterium. RNAcentral's name for it is "Elusimicrobia bacterium tRNA-Leu". It matches the Rfam family "tRNA". Rfam says of the family: Transfer RNA (tRNA) molecules are approximately 80 nucleotides in length. Their secondary structure includes four short double-helical elements and three loops (D, anti-codon, and T loops). Lineage: Bacteria; Pseudomonadati; Elusimicrobiota. The record is from RNAcentral.